Molecule: non-coding RNA, 31 nt
Filed under: Rattus norvegicus (Norway rat)
Lineage: Eukaryota; Metazoa; Chordata; Mammalia; Rodentia; Muridae
Source: RNAcentral
UGAAGAGACUCAUCCUAUUCCUUUCAGAAGC